RNAcentral lists this transfer RNA (70 nucleotides) under Pseudo-nitzschia fraudulenta. It matches the Rfam family "tRNA". Rfam says of the family: Transfer RNA (tRNA) molecules are approximately 80 nucleotides in length. Their secondary structure includes four short double-helical elements and three loops (D, anti-codon, and T loops). Further hydrogen bonds mediate the characteristic L-shaped molecular structure. tRNAs have two regions of fundamental functional importance: the anti-codon, which is responsible for specific mRNA codon recognition, and the 3' end, to which the tRNAs corresponding amino acid is attached (by aminoacyl-tRNA synthetases). tRNAs cope with the degeneracy of the genetic code in two manners: having more than one tRNA (with a specific anti-codon) for a particular amino acid; and 'wobble' base-pairing, i.e. permitting non-standard base-pairing at the 3rd anti-codon position. The record is from RNAcentral. Lineage: Eukaryota; Bacillariophyta; Bacillariophyceae; Bacillariales; Bacillariaceae.
GUCGGUAGCUCAGGUGGUUAGAGCGCACGCCUGAUAAGCGUGAGGUCGGAGGUUCAAGUCCUCCCAGACC